AGAGUUUGAUUAUGGCUCAGGACGAACGCUGGCGGCGUGCUUAACACAUGCAAGUCGAACGGAGUGUAGCAAUACACUUAGUGGCGGACGGGUGGGUAACACGUGAGCAACCUGCCCUAUACAACGGGAUAACACAAAGAAAUUUGUGCUAAUACCGUAUAAGACCCCGCUAAGGCAUCUUAGAGAGGUCAAAGCGUUAGCGGUAUAGGAGGGGCUCGCGGCCCAUUAGCUAGUUGGUGAGGUAACGGCCCACCAAGGCGACGAUGGGUAGCCGACCUGAGAGGGUGAACGGCCACAUUGGAACUGAGACACGGUCCAAACUCCUACGGGAGGCAGCAGUGGGGAAUAUUGGGCAAUGGAGGCAAACCUCUGACCCAGCAACGCCGCGUGAAUGAAGAAGGCCUUCGGGUUGUAAAGUUCUUUAGUGAGGGACGAACAAAUGACGGUACCUCGAGAAUAAGCCACGACUAACUACGUGCCAGCCGCUGC
Molecule: ribosomal RNA, 489 nt
Filed under: uncultured bacterium
Lineage: Bacteria
Description: bacterial SSU rRNA
Rfam family: Bacterial small subunit ribosomal RNA
Source: RNAcentral